GAUGAACGCUGGCGGCGUGCCUAAUACAUGCAAGUCGAACGGGGAGUAGCAAUACUCUUAGUGGCGAACGGGUGAGUAACGCGUUGGUACCUGCCCCGAAGCGGGGGAUAACGGACCGAAAGGUCCGCUAAUACCCCAUGUGCUCGGUAACGAGUAAAGGUGAAAACCACUUUGGGAGGGGCAUGCGUCCCAUCAGCUAGUUGGUAAAGUAACGGCUUACCAAGGCGAUGACGGGUAGGGGACCUGAGAGGGUGGCCCCCCACAAUGGAACUGAAACACGGUCCAUACACCUACGGGUGGCAGCAGUAGGGAAUAUUGGUAAUGGGCGCAAGCCUGAACCAGCAACGCCGCGUGUGCGAUGACGGCCUUCGGGUUGUAAAGCACUUUUGACUGGGACGAGGAAGGACGGUACCGGUCGAAUCAGCCUCGGCUAACUACGUG
Molecule: ribosomal RNA, 441 nt
Filed under: uncultured bacterium
Lineage: Bacteria
Description: partial 16S ribosomal RNA
Rfam family: Bacterial small subunit ribosomal RNA
Source: RNAcentral